RNAcentral lists this ribosomal RNA (254 nucleotides) under uncultured bacterium. Its description in RNAcentral is "partial 16S ribosomal RNA". It matches the Rfam family "Bacterial small subunit ribosomal RNA", at positions 524 to 775 of the family's 1533-position model. The record is from RNAcentral.
UACGUAGGGGGCAAGCGUUGUCCGGAUUUAUUGGGCGUAAAGAGCGUGUAGGCGGCCAGGUAGGUGGGGUUGUGAAAACUGGAGGCUCAACCUUCAGAGGUCGACCCAAACCCCCUGGCUAGAGUCCGGAAGAGGAGAGUGGAAUUCCUGGUGAGCGGGUGAAAAUGCGCAGAUAUCAGGAAGAACACCCGUGGCGAAGGCGGCUCUCUGGGCCGAUACUGACACUGAGGAGCGAAAGCGUGGGGAGCAACAGG